CGGCGCUUCCUGUAGGCUGGCAAACUUGCUUAGGGUGCAGCCGUGCAGGAGCCCGCGAACAGAGGCACUCCGCCGAGGCACGGUGCUCGGGAGGAUGGGUCCGCUCGCACGUCUUGAGGAACAUGUGGUGUAUUGGUGUGGCGGCUAGGGUAUCUAGGGACGGAGGACUCACCAGCACAGAAGAGGAACACCGUCAGAGAGAUAGGAACGAUGUGGGCAGGGGAUCGGGGAGAUCGAUCGAGGGAGCAAGGCCUUAAGAAGCUUGUUGGGCUAUUUCUUAUUGGGCAUGGUGGGUCAAGAAGACGCAGUGAAUUGGCUUUUGUUUAUUUUUUUGUUUUAUUCGGUCAGUUCGGGUAACUGACCUUGAAAACUGAACUGCCCCAUAAAAAUUCGGUUUCCAAGAUUCUUGAACCGAAUUAGAAAUCAAAAUUAUCGAUUUUGGUUUAAUCAGGUUCGGUUGUGAUUAUUUCGGUUCGGUAUUUUCGGUUUCCGCUUAAUAUGCCCACCCCUGCCGCGAACCAUCCCGUCGGUUCCCAGCACUGGGACGCCUGUCACCUGGGUGCGGGCGGCAGAGCAGCUCGCGGAACGUUCCCAGGACGACAUCUCCCGGGCGCUGGACGAAGCGCUCGAGAUGCAGUCCGCCAUUUCGACGGAGCACAUCCUCGCCAGGAUCAUCCUGGAUGGAUCCCUAGGCACCUGAUGAUCCUCCUCUGUUCUGUUCGUCAUCCCUGCAGGUUUUGCGUUUUCCCAGCUUUUUUUUUCAUCACUCUAGGACAUAGGUGGUGCGUGGUCGACAGUUUACCGCAAGAGACUUGUUCCGGAGAAGGUUCUGUUUGUGUAGAUAAGCUCAUAAGCAUUUGUUCGAGUUCGAUCACUCAUCUGUGAUCCGUCGUUGAACUCAUGCUAUUGUCCAGGAAGAAUGUCAUGUAGAUAGAUGAGCCCACAUUUAUCUGCUUUUGCGUUUUCGCAGCUUGUACAAGAGAUUUUGUCUGAAGAUAAGCAUGUGGGUUGUUCAUCUGUUGGAUGUUAGAUGCACAUUAUUUUGGGCGAAAACGAAUCGGAUGCACAUUUCUUUAUGAUACUUCUAGAAUUACGAGUGUAUAACCAUUUAACCAUGACUCCAAGGCCAAUUAAUCAACAAAGAAUCUCCUUCAGAUUCACCCUGCGCUUGCUUCACCACUUCCUGUAAUGUUGAUUCAGACUAGUGUGGUUGGAACUUGGUUGUGUGGCUGCUUUUCGUUACACACUUUUUUUCAUGCUUCCGCUAAUUCGUUUGACUGGAAACGUGCUUUAUUAAGCCUAUGUGCAAAUUUAGGGAGAAAAAAUAGACCAAAUUGUGAAUAGAAGUUAUAUUUUCUCUCCCUCCUCUGUCACAUAUUAAGUUACUCAAAUUUAUUUAAAUAUGAAUGUAUCUUUACUAAAGAGCGUCUAGUUACAUGUAAUAUUUUAGAAUUUAAUAUGAGACCGUGGGAGUAAGUUAUGGGUCUAUAGUGAGGUGGGAUGAUGAUUAAAGUCUUAAAAAACGAUUGGAGAUUCAAAAAAGCAGGCUACCCUUUUUUUUUACUGUUGCUAAUUAUUAGACAUUUUUAGCGAGAGCUCUCCUAUUCGUUGUUAAAGGACAACAACGGAAUUCAGCGGUGAGAAUAAAAUGUAGCAACACACACCGAUAAAAAUUGAUAUUUGAGGUUCAGUAAACUCCCCUAAAAUAAUUUACAAAUAUGAUACUCCCUUCGUCCCGUGGCCAUAUUAGUGAUGAAAUAUUACAUGUAUAUAGACGCUUUUUGGGCAUAGAACUAGAUACACAUAUUCGGACAAAUUUGAGUCACUUAAUAUGACACGGAGUGAGUAUUUAAAUUCAUGUAGCCAGCUUAUAGCCUAUUAGGCUCAUGUUUGAGUCACUAGUAUACUUGGUCAAAAAACUCUUAUCAUUAAUGCACUAUAUUACACUUCUAUUUUUUUUUCGAAAAGGAGUUUGAAACCUCCGGGCCUCUUCAUCAAAUGAUGCACACAACCAAUUUUUAUUAUAACUUAUUCCACAAGCCUAACAAAAAUGAAUACAUCGAUCGAUCACUCAAAACCACCAUGCUAUACCUACAAACCUGAUGAAGAGGAUGGCCGUAUGACCUGAACGCACACCACCACCCAACAUCAAAACUGGGGGCAACAUGAAGGCACAACCGGUCUGGCAAAUCUUUAGCGUGUGCCGUAUGCGCACGCUCCAGAAUCAAUCGCCAUCUUCCACCAACCCAUAUUCAGGACACGGGUCGAAGUAUUGAACUUGUCAGGCCUGACAACGACGGCGCCGGCACGCACCCGACAACCACCCACCGACCAAGACCCUCUCACCCACAAAUCUAGCAUUCCCCCAAUGACGCCCUCAAGGGGGAGAGCGCCGACGUCGCCUAGUCCGAGGACUUUGGGUUUUCACCUAGGAACUUAGAUCGGGGGUGGUGUGGAAGUACCUCGACAAUGCCUCAUCGAAGGGAAGAGACGUCCAAAGACGUCACCGCCGUCGUGGUCAAAUGAGCCGACCAAGGGUUCCCUCGGGUACGAAACCAGCACCAUCGACACUCCGCCUUCUCCAAACUGACGAAAGACGCCACAUAUCAGAUUUGCUGAAGAGGAGAGAGCCCACUGUUGAGCGACCACCAUAGCAUGGCCACGGACCAUGGAUGACGUCACCAGGGCAUGGCCUCCAGGCCACGGACGCCCCACCAGGGCAAACCACCACCACUGCUGUAGCCGGGCACCGCGCCACCACAGCCUCCGCCCAGACCACCCCUAGCGAAGAAGGAACCGGGCCCCGCCAUCGCUGAUGCCGUGCAGGCUUGCCCGAAGGCAGCGAGGGAGAUGGGGGCUGUGGUUUUGCUAGAUGGGAUCGGGCAUGUUUUUCGGAUCUUGAUUGGCUCUUGGCUCCUUGUUUAAAUCUUCUAAUUAAAGAGGUAAGUUUUAAUCUUUAACACUUACCUGCUUCCGCCCUCGUGGUGGCCCUCCCUUGGUUCCAACAGCGCCGGUGGACGGCGGAGGUUGGGCACACGACCACCUUCUCCCUUCGUCGAUGAGCCUUGAGGAUCUUGCCCAGCUGGAGGAGGCGGGAUACUUCCCCAAGGGGGACGGUAUCCUGCCCGAUGGCGAGGAGGUGAGGCUCGACCAGCGGCGGCGUCCGGGAUGCAUCGUGGCAUUCUCGGCUUGGUUCCACGCCGGCCUAUGUGUGCAUGUUCACUCCUUCUUGCUGGAGUUCCUGGAGACGUACAACAUCGAGUUGGCCCAGCUUCACCCGUCGACGAUCGUGAGGUGAACGUUUUUAGGUGGCUGUGUGAAACGGCGCUUCACGAGGAGCCUUCGAUGAAGCUUCUGCUCUUCUACUUUACAGUGGAGGUGAGGGAGCUGCUCACUCCGGACGGCUUUGCUCUGAGCGCCUUUGGUUCGGUGAACCUGAGGCUUCGUUCCGGCUUUGGAGACGACUUCCUGCUCAUGCCGGGGAAGAGUGCAAAGAAGUUGUUCGUCAAGUGGGAGUCCCAGUGGUUUCUUCUUCGGGCUUCGAAGACCCGUCUUCGGCACACGGGUGAUCUUCCUCGGCACUCUGGGGCCGGAGGUCUUAGGGAGGUGUCUCACCCCGGCGAUCCUCGAUCAGCCGACCUCUGGGAAGUGGCCAAGAUCAAGGAGGUGUCCGCCGAGAGGAGCUUUCGUGACCUCAUGGAGAAGAUGGUGAUGGCAGGAUGCUUCAUGAUGAGGAGCCGUCCGAGGUCCGAGAUUGGGACCCCUCGAUCUUUCCGUCCUCCACAGCUUGUCACCGCACGUGAGUGGCGCCCCUCUCCCCUUCGUACUUUGCUUGUUUUCCCUUGUGAAGGUACUUAACAAUUUUGGCUUGUCUUUUUUCAGCGACGUUUUCCGAGGAGAAGGCGGCGUUGUGGGCCGCGCAGCUGAUAGGUCCGUACGGCGGACCGGAGCACCGCGACUACGAGACCAAGAUCAGCGAGGGGGGAUGCCACAACAUCAUCGCGAGGUGCUUCGGGAAGAUGGUGCCGGUGCGACAGGACCCGAAGCUUGGUCGCCUUCUCUGAGUGGGCGAUCGCUACUCCCGCUUGGCUACACCGUCGAUGUUGGCGGUUGGGUCCAAGUUGCGGGACUCUUGUGGGAAGGCGAAGGCGGGAACGGCGGUGCUGGGCUUGGCGGUGCCUGUCGUGCCGGUUCCCAAGAUACCUCGUCUGUCGAGUGGAUGCAAGAUGAAGGCUCCCCUGACUCCUUCUCCUUCUCUUGACUACGCCCCGGUAGAUUCGGCGGAUCCUGUCGUGGGCGAAUCGAGGUCCUCCCUGAGGGUGACCUUGGACCAGCACAUGAAGGGGAAGAUUGGACUGAGCAAGUUCUUCCUCCUUCAAGUCACGAGGUUGAGGCUUUCACUCGCGAGACGGGGCUUCGGCUUCGGAGCGACUCAGUGGUGGAGUUGUCGACCAGAGCCAGCGGUGCGAGCGUCCAGGUGUUCUCCACUGGUCGCGAGCGUCCCGAGGAGGAUGCUCCUACCUCGGGUGAGUGCCCUUCUCUUUUGGUCACGUCAUUCUUUUUCUGAAUGAUUUUGACAUGUUCUCCUUGGUUUGUUUCUAGGUGCGAGGGCCGCGGAGCCCGGGGUUCUUGAGGGCGAACCCCUGACUCAAGCGAGGGAUGGAGUGCUUCCAUCGACCGUGGAUGGAGCGAGAGACCCUUUCGUGACACUGGAGCUGGUGAGCAUCCGUGACGUACCUCCCUUGGUUCUUUGGGUUAGCUUUUGUGCUAACUCCCUCUUCUUUGUAGGUGAGGGGUUUGGUCGAGGCCGUGGGCGCCCUUCCUGCCCUUAAGACUCAGGUGGGGGCGCUUUCCGCUGCUUUGGACAUGGAGAUGUCCAAGUCUACCCUUGCCUUGAGCGAGUUGGCUUCGAAGAGGGUGCGGCGCGAGGCCGUGGAGGCCGAGCUUUCCCGCGUUUCGGCGGAGCUUGCAGCCGUGGAGACCAGGGCUCGACUUGCUGAGGAGUGCCAGAAGGACGAGAUUGCGAGGACCCGUCGAGUUGAGGAGGACUUGGUGGUGGCCAACCUUGAUAGGGAGCAUGCCCGCGCGGAGGCUACUUCCCUCAAGGUGGAGUUGGCGGCAGCGGGUGAUGGCCCGAUGCUUGCUCCUCGUGCUCGUCCUCCUCCGGAUCGUCGUCCUGAGGUGGUUUCGCUUUUACUUGCUCAGGCCACCGAGAUUCAGGAGAUGAUGAUUUGCCUAAGGAGUGUUCCUCAGCCGGAUCUUCCUCCGUGUCGUAUGGUGGAUGAGACGAGCAGGGUGCUUACUUCCCAGUUGGAGCUCAUUGAGCCUACCGUGAAGAAGUGCCUCCUGAAAACGGGUGCUCGACUUGUUUCGCCAGCGGUUGCGGCAGUCCUGGACGGUGGUGCCGGGAUGAGCGGUCUUGAGGGUGAGAUGUCUCACGGGGCGAAGAAGUUUCUGGCGGACUAGGGUGCUCCUCUUCGCGCUCAGGCUCGACGCUUCGUGCGUUGCCUUGAGCCUGCUCUUCAGGAGGGUGGUGGUGAGGUGUGAGCCUCGUCGCCCUCGGAGGUGGUGAUGUACCUCAGCUGCUUACUUAUGCGAUGUUGCAUAUCUCCACUUGACUUAGCCUCAUGGCUAGCAUGUUUAGGCUCUUAGUCGUAGAGGUUGUAAGGCAGCUUUUUUGUUGUGUUUCAUGCUUCACUAUAUAGUCAACAUUAUCGGAAAUAUUAACUUAGCUCAGCAUGUAUUUUUCAUGUUUCACCAUGUAGUCCACAUUAUCGAAAAUGUUAACUUGGCUCAACAUGUGUUUUUUGGAGUACUAUAUUUUCUUCUUGUGAAGUACUAUAUUUUCUCAGUUUAUACAGCUCGCGAUCAUUCGCUAUGAUUGCACUUUUGUGUCAUCAAUUGCUGUCGCCGUUCGGAUACGACUCGGCUUCGACGCCUUAGGCCAUGGUUACGAGCCACGAGUCCUAGUAUCCUUGUGAGGGUCGCUAUCAAUAUGCCGGUAGUGAUCCGGACAUUUUGACCUGCCGUUCGGGAAAUUUCAUGCGGAAUGUUCCCUCUUCGGACUUCAGGAAGCUAUGCUUUCCCGUGAUUAUUAUGGAGCCUUAACCCGGUUACUAUCAUGCAGGCCCGUGCGCGACGUCUCGCAUACGGGUAGCACGGUUCUCCGAGGUAAGUAAGCUCAUGCAUAACUCGCUUAUUUACGGUUCUCCUUAAAUGCGUUUUAAGGAGCUUCCGGCCCUCAGGGGACUUGGUUCUACUUGGCGGAUGGCCUCGAGGCACGUUAGGAUCCGCCAAAGAACAAGUCGCUAGUAGCGACCUAUGUCCGUGGACAUUCUUUAGAGGUGCUUGGGCCCACGGAGGCCUUUCCGCAUUCCUCGGUGAGCGGCACAGGGGCAGCGGCUCUUUUUACGAUGAUGAGUCAUGUGACUGUCUCGUGUCACUCUUAAUUUUUCCUCAAGGACUUAUUUUAUUGAUCCUUACUUCCUUGUCUUAAGGUAUGGCCCGAUGGGCGCUUACAAGCCUUACGUAGACGCGGCCUCAUUGGCCCUUAUGAUCCCUCGAAGUUUCGUAGGGAAACGGCCGGUUGGGUGCUGAAGUCUUUUUUCGGGAGCGACAAGAAUUGCCCUUGAAGGUCCUCCUUAGGCGUAGAAACGCCGGAGCUUUUCGCCGUUCCAGGCAUGGACAAGAUUUUGCCCUUUCAUAUUCUCGAGGUGGUAUGCACCAUUUCCCAAUACUGCGGUGAUGCGGUAUGGUCCUUCCCAUUUAGGGUCGAGUUUGCGCUGGAGCUUUGGGUCGAUGUUCUUUUUCAGCACGAGAUCUCCUUGGGAGAAGGCUCGUUUCCGCACUCUUGUGUUGUAGAAGCAUGCAGCGCUUUGCUCGUAGAUGGCGUGCCUCAUGAGGACUUUGUCACGAGCUUCUUUCACAAGAUCGAUAGCCGUCUUGUGAUGCUCUUCAUUUUCGAUGAAGGCAAUUGGAGUGGCUUCUUGGAGCCUUUCGACCCGAGGUGAGCGGAACUCGACCUCGGCGGGAAGAACUGCUUCGGCUCCAUACACCAAAGAGAAUGGUGUUCGGCCCGUGUAACGGCAUACGGAGGUGCGUAUGCCCCAAACCAUGCUAGCGAGUUCAUCUCCCCAUGCUCCGCUUGCUUUGCUAACCGUGUGCUCUACCCUUCGGUGGAGUAGGAUUAGUCCAUUUGUCCUUUCGCAUGCGCCGUUACUCUUGGGGUAAGCUACGGAUGCGAAGUGCAGUUUGAUCUCAAGGCAUUCGCAGAAUUUGAUGAAUUCCGCACAGCCGAACUGUUUGCCUUUGUCCACGGUUAGCUCUCGCGGACGCCAUAUCGGCACAUGAUGUUUUCCCAGAAAAAAAUUUGAACGGCCUGUGACGUGAUCUUGCCGAGCGGCGCUGGUUCUAUCCAUUUGGAGAAGUAAUCAAUCAUCACCACGAGAUAUUUGCAGCCCCCGUUGCAUGCGGGGAAAGGCCCGAGAAGGUCCAUUCCCCAGCGUGCAAAUGGCCAUGUUAUCGGGAUAUUCUUCAGGAAAGUCACGAGCGCAUGGAUUGACUUAGCCAUUUUCUGGCAAGCUUCGCAUUUCCGCAAUAUGGUGAUUGCGUCUUGCACCAUGGUGGGCCAAUAGAAUCCCUGACGUAAGGAUUUUGCCGUGGUGGCUCUUGGCGCAAGAUGGUGGCCGCAUAGUCUUGAAUGGAUUUUCAGGUGGAGCUCGGCUCCCUGGUCAGGAGUUAUGCACUUAAGCAAUGCGGCCGCUCCUUUCUUGUAUAGGAUGCCAUCGAGGAGGACAUACAUCUUGGCUUUUGCGAGUAGAGUUUUGGCGCUCGGGCCUUCUGCUUCUUCGUCCACUUCGCCUUUCAAGGCGCGAAUAAUCGGUGUCAUCCAAGAGGGUGGAGCGUCGAUGACAAUGCUGGUCUUUGAAGCUUCGUCAAGGGCGUCGGCUUCUUCCUUUAUGGAUGGGGCGCGAAUUACUUCGAAGAAUGCACUGGGUGGCAGCGGUUCUUUGGAACCGGCCGUUCGGGCUAACCUGUCGGCUAGGUGAUUUUCUCCUCGCGGAAUGCAUCGCCCCUCCAUACCCAGGAAAUACCGUUCCAUCUUGCGAACUUCUUCGAUAUAUUUCUUCAUCCUUUCAUCAAGGCAUUGAUAUGAUUUGUCCAUUUGGUUUAACACUAGUUGGGAGUCUCCUUGGAUGAGAAGGCGUCGGACUCCCAUGGCCUUGCCCAGUCGAAGCCCGAGAAGUAGCGCCUCAUAUUUCACCAUAUUGUUGGUAGCGUUGAAGUCAAGAUGGGCGGUGUACUCCAAGAUCUUACCUUCGGGGCUGAUGUGUAUGACUCCAAUGUGGUUGGAGGGGCUCGAUUUUGGAUGUGAUUUCUUCGGGCGGGGUUAGUGGAGCAUGCCACUCGGCCACAAAGUCAGCCAGGACUUGGGAUCUUCAUGCACAAGAAGUUGUGGUGGACGGCGGCGCAAAGUCGGUUUAGCGUCGUCCUCCCGAGGAUGGCGUUAAAGGAGGCCCCCAUAUCCACCACGUCGAACCGUACGAGCUCGGUUCGAUGAUUUGUGGUGUUUCCGAAGGUCGUGAGGAGCUCCAUUUGUCCGAGCGGCUGAAUGAACUUCCCCGGCACGAAACCGGUGAAGGAAUAAAGGGAUGGUUGUAGCGAGCCAUUCUUGUAGCCCCCUUUUGGUUCCAUUAGCUUCUUUAAUGUGCUCAGAUAUAGGAUGUCGGCGGAGCUUCCACCAUCCACAAGAAUCUGCUUGAGCUCACAAUUGGCAACGAUCGUCAUCACACAGAGGGCGUCGUCAUGCGAGAAGCGUAUCCCCUUGGCGUCUUCUUCGGUGAAGGCAAUUGGCACACUCGCCCACUUGGGUGGUGGUGUCGGGGUGAAGGUUCCCACGACAUUGACUUCGUGAGCAUACUCCUUGCGUUCUUGCUUUGAUCCCCAUCCCAUGGUGGAGCCCCCGAGUAUCACUCCGACGUGAUGUGCGGAUUCCUGAAACGGGAGGUUAUCUUCCUUUGGUGCUGGGUCAGCGACAAGGACGUUGGUGGGGCAUGGAGCCUCGGCUGUCUUCUCAUCCUUGUGCCGGGCUUGCAUUCGUGCCUGGAACUCUUUGCGAGCCGUGAUGAGAGUGUUUCACUCUUCAGUGCUGUGGCUUGCCAAGUUGUGGAUGAGGCAUCUCCCAGUUCCUCCCUCGGCAGGGCGAGGUGGCUUCUUGGGCUGCCACGUCUUUUGGGAUGGUGCUUGUCCUUCGACGGCGAAGAUCUUCCGGGCUUGGUCACCGGGAGCCUGUUUCCCCCACCUCCUCUUCUUCUUGGAAGACGAAGUAGGCGCAGGGGGUUUGUCAGACGAGGGAGCUCCUUCGGGAGCGGCGCGUGGCGCGUCUUUUUUGGCGAUGUCCCCGUCUUCGCCCCGGGCGUAUUCUUGCAAGAUUCGAUAGAGCUCCUCGGUCGUCUUCGGCGGGUUACGACUUAGGGCCCGAUUCACUUCUCCUUGGAGAAGACCUUGCGUACAUGCGUCAAUCACGGUGGUCGACGACAGGUUGGCGAUUUGGCUUUGCACCUUUGCAAAGCGAUGGAAGAAGCUUCGGAGGGAUUCCCCCGGCUUUUGUUUUACGGCGUAUAGCUCGUGAGCCUGCACGGGUUCUUUGAAGUUUUCUUGAAAUUUGGCGAUGAAGACCUCUUGGAGGCGCUCCCAUGAGUGCACGGGGUUCUUCCGCAGGUUAUAAAACCAAGUUUGCGCCAUUCCGGUGAGCGCGAGCGGAAAGAGGUUGCACAUCUCGACGGAACCUCCCCCGGCGGCCCGUAGGGCGGUGGAGUAGACAUCCAAGAAUUGAAGAGGAUUCGACUCCCCGUCGUAUGGUCGUAUUGUGGGUGGCUUGAACCUUGGCGGAAAAGACGCGUCUUGGAUCUCCCGCGUGAGCGGGUUGCAAGUCGGUCGAUUCUUUUGGUUCCUUCGGUGGCGAGGUCCUCCCUCGUCGCUUUCGUCGCUAGAGGGGUCGCUUGGAGAAUGAUCUCGACGUUUUCUUGGAGGGUUGGAGCGUCGACGGGAAUUCCUUUCGCCGCCGGCACGGGCUCCGGAUUCCGCCACUUGCUUGUUUCCAUGCACGUUGGGGUCUCGUUCACCGCGAGGCGCAACUUGAGGUGGUACCUGGUGUCCGCCUUGUUCGACCCCGACAGGGGGAGCAAGGGGCGCUUGCGGAGCACUCGCAAAGCGAGGUUGAUGUUGAGUGUGUGCGACUUGGAGAGCGUCUUGCGGCGGAAGCCCCCAAUAAGGAUGAUACCAAGGAGCUCCUUGGAUGAUCGCAGUGAGUGCUAGUGGAGGUAAUCCCGGGUUGGAGGGGUCGUAGGCCGGGGCUCCUUGGUUUUCUGGCGCGGAUCCUCCCGAUGUCACAUUGUUUCCUCUCGUAGGUUCCGAGGGCAGGGUCACCACCGGUUGUAGGGAAGGUGACACGAAGCCCAUCGAGCGAGGCAUGCCGAGUUCCAUAUCCCCUGCAGGGGCGGCAACCGUAGGCAGCUCGCCGAUCCUUACCACUAUGUUGGUGAGUGUCGAGGGACCGCCUACGAUGGUUUCGAGCACCUCGGUUCCUUCCGGGACGGUCGGUAGUGGAGGGGCGACCGCGACUUCCGUCGUAGGGCGUGUACGCCGGCCUUAUAGCGAAGGUCGCCGUACACUUGGACAAGUUGACAUGUCGAUAUUUUUUGAAUAGGUUCGGUUGACCCUGCGGGUGCGACUUAAUCCUAUGUUAGGAAAGACUUCGAGGGGAUUGUUAGCCAAGGGAUUGGGCCGAGCGGAUCUUCCCAAGACACCUUUUGGCGAGAGGUUUGUCGGGGCCGCCUUGUACUUAGACCGAACGCGUCUUUCCAAGUAUCGAGGUUAGGAUACCCUCGGAACUCUAACCCAACCACUUCUCCUUCGAGCCCGUGCCAACCAAGGUUAGCUCGGAGCCUCGAAACUAGAGUCCCCUAGAAGGCUUUCUCGAGGCCGAUCGACUUUUAGUUGAGAGCGGCGCGCGAGAGCGAACCUUAAAGGGAGCACUCUAGCUCUCUCCCCUUGAGUUUAUUCAAGUGAGAGUGAAUGGUACAUGCCCCCAUGAGGGGGUUUUAUAGCUUAGGAGUCCAUGACAAAAGACCAUGACUACCCUUGAGGGAGAGAGAAAAGUGGGGGCAAAAUGGUAAAAGUAGCUCCUUUGGUUCAUAACUUUUGUGUGCACCAUGAGGAGGAAAUGAGGGAUGGUCCAUGAUCCACCAUGGACCAAAAGCCUCAUCCCACACCUUUCUUGCCCCCUAUUCUAGCUCAUUUGACCCUUUGUCCAUGGCAUGAGAGGCUUGACUUGUUGACUUGUCUUCCUUUGCCACGUAGGAUUGACCGCGCCACGUGGACGUCUUGAUUCGUGCUUGAGAAACGUUGACUUGGUCAUCGCCAUGUAGGAUUUACGGCCCGGCCCAUAUAAGGAUUUUAUUUUACUACAACACUACCCAAUGCCAACUACCGCCAACCGUUCCAAAGAGGCGAUUGGGAGGCGACGAUUCGUUCUUCUUUGUUUUUGCCUCCCUGUUCCAAUUUCCACUGCUCCGAUGGUCAAAGGAGGGGUCGGUUCCCAGUUUCUUUUCCAUGGUGUUUGCAAAGGUAACUUUUUGUUCGUUUGGAGGCGUUCGUUCGGUGAGAGCCACGCCGGGUUGAAUAAAACCGCCUCGACUUUCUCCUCACCAUGGCAGCUUUGAGAAAUUAGUAGUAGUCUUGUUUGCUCACUGGUUAUUCUCGGUGAUGAGAUUUAUUGUUUUUUGUUUCGUUGGCGGUUGUUGUUCUCUGCAAUAGUACCAGUGGGCGGGAAAAGAUGGUGAUCAAGGAGGAGAAUUUGCGGUUUGUUGAUGGUGGAUGAUGUUUUAUCCUGUUCAUUGGCGGGAUGCGAUGAUGGAUCUAGGUCUAGGCCAACACAAGGAUGUUCUCCAGUCGACGUGACACAACGACAAGUGUCUCGCUGCGCGCAAAUGGUUUGUUUCAUCAACUCUAAAUUAAGGCUUCUAUGGCAAUGGUACAAAUCUGGAGCUUGCCAUGUUGGAGGUUGUGCAAGAAAAGAUACAUCAUCAGGAAGAGGAAGAGGUUUGGAAAGGAAGUGCAGGUUUAUCCCAAGGAGCGCAACAACCAUGGAUGCCUUUAAUUCCUGUGCAUCAGCGACGCGACGAGACGCGGUGGCACACGGCAGCGAGCCAGCGAGCAGCCCCGCAGCCAGCGCCAGCCUGGCGGAUUGGACCCCACAGCCGUAACGGCUUUUCCAGCCAUGGCAGCAGGAGUGAAAAACUGGAUGACCGGCAGUUGAAAUUUCGAAUGAACAAGGCAAUGCAGCCAUGCCAGCGACGGUAAAUUUCCCCGUGGGCAAAUUAAGUCACCGUAAAUUCCCAUUCUCCCCGCCCCGGACAAGGACAACUAUAAAAUCCCGCUCCCCGUCUUCGUCUUCGUCCACAAGGUACGUACACCACACCGGCCGUCACGCCCGCCCGCGCACCCGCGACCCGAGAGAGAGGGAGGGAGAGCUCGAUCGGUGCUGGGCGGGCGAUGGAAGACGACUUGUGGACGGCGGUGAGGCAGCGGGUGCCAGAAAUCCUCCAGGCCGCCGACGCCAUGGGAUCAGACGUCAUCGACGAAAUCACCCUCGCCCUCGCUUCUCUCGGCUCGCGCAGGCUCAACUUGAGCCUCUUGAAUUCCGGCGUCGUCCGCCGGCACCUGAACGCCUUCAACAUCGAGGCGCUCGACAGCGCCAUGAUCCUCGAACGCGCCCGCUACGCCCUGGCGCGCCACAACGAGUUCCACCACAUGGCCUUCCGCGUCUUCUCCCUCUACGGCGAGCACGACCCGCCGCCGGCCGCCCACCUUCUGCAGAUGGACCACGGCCUCCUGCCCGGAGACCCGCUCUGGGAGGCCUGGUUCGGGCGCUACGGCGAGUCCCAGCACCUGUCGGCCGCGGUGGCGCGGACGCUCCGCUCCGCGAUGGCCUACGACCAGGCGACCAGAGACGCCGCGUCCGUGUCCAGGAAAUGCCCCGUCGAUUCCCCCCGCUGGACCGAGUGGAUCCGCGCGGCUCACGAUCUCGCCGUGCGUGCCGAAGCGGAGGUCACCACGGCACGGGACCAGGCGGUGCAGAUGCACGACUCCGUCGUCGCGGAGUACGGCGACGUCACGGCGAUCCUAGACAGCUACUAAGCACCUGAUCCUAGACAGCUACUAAGCGGAGGCCAACAUCCAGCUCGCCGAUCUAUUGACAAGCCUCCGUUCUGUUCGGUCAUCCUUGCAGGUUUUGCGGUUUCCAAGCUUUUCUCACUCAUAGAACAUAGUUGCCUUAGUUGGUGCGUGGCCAGGAGAUACUGUCUUGUAGAUAAAGAUGUCGAGCAUGUCGCUUGUUCAUCAUCCCUGAUCCGUCGCUGAACGGGAUUUCUAUCUGCCAGUAGCUAGGGUCGGUGUUUCCGUUUUGUGUUUCUGCAUGUCUGUAGAUAAGCAUGUCGGUUGUUAAUACAGUAUGUUGUUGGACUCAUAACUCCUGAAGAAGGUCAGAUCAGCUUUAAUGACGGAUCAUAGAUGCACGUUUCUAUCUGCUGCUUCUAGAAUUACCCUACUUGUAGUUUUCUAGUACUACCAAGGUUCAACAUGGCUUGCGGUCCAGCUUCACCACUUCCUGUAUCAGUUCAGCAUGGUACGGCAUUCUGAAUAGAGAUCUCUUCUGAAUAUGAAAUAGAAACCAGGAACUUCUCCCUUUUCACGUCGUUCUAUAAAGUGAUGGCCUGAUACAGUUAAUUAUGGUCCAGAACAGAACAUCAAACAAGUGCAGUAGGCGUGCAGACAACUGGGAAGUGUUCAGCCAAGAAUCAAACUCCCAGGUUAUCAUCAUCAAAUUGGCAGAAACAUCCCACAUUAUACAUGAUGGUAAUUUGUCAAAGAAUAUUAACCAUAAAUGAGUAGGCACAUGCGGAUCAUAGCAUGCAGGAACAUGCACAGUUUACGUCCAGACUCAUCAAAGUUACAUCUCAAAUACAAAUAGAAGCCACCAAACACGUGUCUCCAUAGACCCCUGGGACCAAAUCAGGACUGUCUCAACAGUAGACAUUUCCGCAGUCUUAACACUUCCCAUAGAUACAGAUAAGGCUAGACACUACCAGGUCUUCUAGGGGGAAUGACUAUUGAAACGAGAAAUCUUCUACCAUGGAAGCUGAAAUGCGGUAUAUAAUUUAGUUUUUUUCUAGCAUGAACAUUUCAAAAUAUCCAACUGAAAUGAAUAGAUCAGAAAUUGGUUAGAUUUAAGGAUGAGAAAGACCAUUACAUUAAUCUGCUUAUUGGAAAUAAGGAUCAAACAGCAACACUAGCAAAAAAAUUAAGCAAAUUAAGACACCAGCUGAACUUUCAGAACAGGAGACUGAGCUUGUGCAGUUAAUAUUUGCUUGGUGGUCAGUCAGUGCCCCUGUCACUCGUUACCUCACAAAUCUAUACCAAAACAUCACGAUAAAAACAUAAGAACUUGGUGAAAAUAAGUGCCCAGGAUCCAAAUUUGCAGAAUGAAAAAACAGUGGGGUGUUGAAAGUGGAGCAUCAAACUCUUGUGUCUUGUCCCUCCAGGCCUCUUAACUAGUUUGGCCAUUUAUCAUGAAUUUUCACUUAUCCUGGAUCUGUAUAAUAGAUACAAUGCUGGCCAAAAAGGGAUCGAGUAAUGCCAAACUUGGAAUCCACCACGCACCUUACCAUCAGUAAACUGAAACUGUGUUUCUGGCCAAGAAAAUAUGCUUUUCUGCCCCUACUAACUGAAGUACACAUUGUACGGAAAAAAUUGCAAGUUAGAGGCUAAUUUCACAAGAAAGUGAAAUGAUUGGUGAGAACUAAUUAAAUUAGCACCAUAAUAUAGGUGUUAAUUUAAUAACCAUUGGUAAGCAGUCAGCCUAUCCGAAUGUACUGUGACAGCCAAAAGUGGGAACAACUUAGCCUAGGAUAAUGCCAAGCCUAACCUGUGAUGUACAGAAACAAAAAGAAAUCAUACUAACUGCACAAAGACAGAAGUAUGCACGGGUCAUCAUGAUUAGUAAGUAAUGAUCAGGGACGCAAAGCAACCAAUUCAGUACUUGCUAAUAAAUGCAUAAUCAACCUAAGAAAAAUGGUUUUAUUCCUCAAUCAAGUUCCUAUUUAAAACCCUUCUACAGGACAAAUUUCCCAGCAGUUCUUUUGCCUCCUCCAGAAAGCCCUCAUAGGCAAUGCCUUCAACGAGAAUGAUAUAGGUUGAUUCAUCAGGCAUGCAGCCAUUGGACACCAUAUAAGCAAAAAAGUCGAUAGCAAGAUCUGUUCUCCAUUUUUUACAAAGACCAAGCAGUAUAGCAUUAUAAAGCAUCUUGUCAGGAGAUAAGCCCAUGGCCUGAACUCUGCGGAACAUUCCGAUAGCCCUCUCCAUUUCAUCUUCUCUUGACAACCCGAAAGCUAACGAUUUGUAAGUAGUUGUAUCUGGGCAAAGGCCAUUAGAGACCAUCAGGUUCAACAAAUCCAGGGCUUCCUCCGUUUUGCAAGAUUUGCAAAGACUAGCAAUUACUUUAUUGUAAGUAAUCACGUCCGGAUGACAGCUAUUUCCCACACUCUUUAAUAGAUCAAGUGCUCCCCUUGUCUUGCCAGCCUUGAGAAGCUCUUCAACCAUUAUAUUAUAGGUAGUUGAGUUCGGCAUGCUGCCCUUCUCAGAUAUUAACUUCAGAAUUUCAAUUGCUUGUGAAUGCAACCCUUUCUGACAUAAACAAGUCAUUAUUGUAUUAAAUGUCUCUUCAUCUGGGGGACAACUGUUGUGGAUCAUCUUAACCAUGAGCUGCCCAGCAUCCUCCCACCGCUCAACACUGCACAAGCCCAUCAAUACAGUGUUAUAUGUAAUGAUAUCAGGCUUGCCUCCAUUAGAUUGCAGACAGUCUAACAAUUUCAUGGCAUCCUCGAUGCACAUUUUGUUGCACAAACCGUCAACGAUACAAUUGUAUGUGGUAAUGUCCGGGAUGCAUCCAUGCUCUGACAUUUCAUCAACAACUUUAAUUGCACGAUCAAACAGUCCUUUCUGACACAAGGAAGUGAUUAUUGUGUUGAAUGUCACUUGAUCUGGGAUACAGUUCUUGCUGACCAUCUCAGCCAAGAGCUCCUCUGCAUCAUCCCAUCGUUCAACGCAACACAGGCCCUUCAACAGCGUGGUAUAGGUAAUGAUAUCUGGCUUGCACCCAUAGGAUUGCAGAUCACUUAGUAACUUGAUAGCCUCGUCAACACGCCUUUCUUUGCACAAACCAUCCAUAAUGCUGCUGUAUGUGAUAAUAUCUGGGGUGCAUCCGUGCUCUGACAUUUGAGCAAGAACUUUAGUUGCACGACCAACAAACCCUUUCUGACACAAAGAAGUAAUUACUGCAUUGAAUGUCACCUCAUCCGGGGCACAAUCGUUGCUGAACAUCUUGGUCAAGAGCUUGUCAGCCUCCUCCCACCUCUCAGAGCUGCACAAACUUUUCAACACAGGGGUAUAGGUCACAGCAUCAGGCUUGCAUCCAUAGGACGGUAAGCUAUUCAAGACCUUGAGAGCUUCACCAACAUCACCCUGACUGCACAUAGCAUUGAUGAGGACGUUGUAGGUUACAAUGUCCGGCUCGCAGCCCUUGGAGCGCAUCUCAUCGAGAAGCACCACAGCCUGCUUGUAGCCACUCUCCUUGCACGUGGCAUCUAAGAGGAUACUGUAGGUGACCACACUGGGGGAGCAGCCCCGGUGGAGCAUAUCGUCGAACACCGCGAGGGCGUCCAGAACGCACCCACGGACACACAGCGCGCGGAUCAGGGGGUUGUAGGUGAACGUGUCCGGCGCGAACGGCACGGAGUCGAUCAUACGACGGGCCGCGUCUAUAUUGCCGGCGCGGCAGUAGCCGUUUACCAUGGUGUUGUAGGUUAUGAUGGUGGCGGACGGACCGAGCGCCUCGACCACGCGCUCAGCGUCGGCGACACGGCCGUCGGCGCAGAGCUUCUUGAUGAGGAUGUUGCAGGGGAUGACCGCAGGGUCCUUCCCGCUGCCGGAGAUGGAGUGCACGAGGCGUAGGGCGCCGUCGAGCUCGCCCCGCUGCACGAGGCCGCGCAGGCGCCUGUUGGCCCCGCCGCCACUCCGAGCAGGGGGCUUCGGCGGCGUCCUUGUCCAUUUGGCAGUGCCGUGGUCGCGGUUAUGGUAGUCGGCGGCAGCUUGCGGGCACUUGGGUUUUAGCUUCUGGACGGGAAGCGAAGGGGAGCGCGGAGGUGGAAGGGUCGGCAGCUUGGGGAGACGCGGUAGUGAGGAAGCCGCCAUGGCCAUGAGGCGAUAGAAUGCGACGACACCCCGAGCUCGCUCGCUCGGCUCACUCGAUCACAUGGGCUUGUAAGCCCAAGUCCGCAACCAGUUGGGCCCCAUAAAGCCCAAGUCGCAACGAGUUGGGGCUCUGUAUUAUAUCUUAGUACUUGGGCUUCUAUUGUGACUUGUGAGUGUGCUGUCCUAUCCUCGCGAACUGUAGAGAGAGAGAGAGAGAGAGAGAGCGCACGGCGGCGGAGACGAUGGCGAGCGGAGGGAAGGGGCUGAACGCGACGGGAGAGUUCUUCCGGCGGCGCGACGAAUGGAGGAGGCACCCGAUGGUGGGGAACCAGCUGCGCCACGCCACCCCAGGCCUUGGCAUCGCCAUCGUCGCCUUCGGGAUCUACCUCGUCGGCGAGGCCGCCUACAACCGCCUUUACCCCUCCAGCGGCAACCACCACUAGAUCGGCCCCCGAAGGUAACCGCCCGUAUCUCUGAUUUUUCUUUUUCUUUUUCAGUCG
Molecule: long non-coding RNA, 17810 nt
Filed under: Brachypodium distachyon (stiff brome)
Lineage: Eukaryota; Viridiplantae; Streptophyta; Magnoliopsida; Poales; Poaceae
Description: long non-coding RNA (BDIS_LNC003886)
Source: RNAcentral